CGCGGCAGGGCUGCGCGGGUUGUGCUGGCCACAGCUCCCCGCACUGCCGCCGCCCGUCCCCGCCCAGGGGUUGGGACACUGGGGUUCACACCCUUGGGGACUUUGCCCUGGCAUGAUACCUCCCGGGGUCAGGGAAGGGCCGCGCCUGGCUCGCCAGGCUGGUACUGGAUGGGAGCUGGGGACCGGGCAGGGGCUCCGGGAGCAGCCGGGACACCACUCGGGGGACCACUGAGCCCGGGGCGGCGGAGCACAGUGCUGCGCCUGCGCACGACUGAACGCUGGGUCCCCCUGCGGGGAGCCAGCGGCUGCGCGGGAGGCGAGGCUGCAUGCAGGCCGAGAGGUCGCUCCCCUCUCUCUUAACAUGUGAAGUGAUGCCCGGUUGCAUCCACACCUAUUUUGAUUGCGCUUUUUGAUCUCUCCUGCAGGCGGUCGAAGUUCACAAAAAAUAUCAAAUGUGGUUCAACAGUAAACAAAGAUUUGAUUCCGCAAAACCUGAGACUUCUCACACUUCUGACACUUUCUGCAAAACCUGAGACGUCUCGCACAGAACCCUUCUUUGCAGAUAAAGGAGGCGCCAUCACAGAACCAAAGAAUACCAGUUUGAGCAAGGAAAUUACUUCCUUACAUUUAGUGAUUAGAAAGAAAGUUUUUAAAUUAUCUCCUCAAAUUCUUUAUCAUUUCAAGUUUCUUUUCUUUUUUCUUUUCUUUCUUCUUUUUUUUUUAAAAAAAAAACAAAACUGUGGCUAAAAACAACAGUUAAUCAUUUUAAUCCUUGGGUGUGCAACCGUCACCAGGCACCCUCCCUAGACUGGUCGCCAUCUCAGAUGGAAACUUGUCUGGUAAACUAAUCAUUGCUCAUUCUCCACCCUCCCCGUCAAAACCAAGUAACCUGCAUUUUGCUCUCAGUCUCUAUGGAUUUGACUAUUUAUGCAACCUCAUCUAUUUUUCCUUUCAUGACUGGCUUAUGCCAGUUACAUAAUAUGUUCAAGGUGUGUCCACACUGUAAUGCCCAUCAGCACUGGAAAUGCUGGCAGCCAGCGUGGUGUUCUUAACUCUUGGCAGCAGAUUCUGCCCACACCUCCAGAGGCGCCGCUUUCCCCCUUUCCUGAGCUGCGGCUCACGCCUCUUUCUUCACUUCCGUUUUUAAUGCCCCUAGCUUGUCUCCUGGAGUCUUACUUUUCCUUCUGUAUUUGGGCAAAACGUUACCUGUUCUCUGGGUAGCCUGUCUCCAAAGGUCCGACAUGUCCUUCCUUUCGCUCUGUGCCCUUCCCAUGCCAUAUACGGCUUUUAGAGGAUGUCUUACUCUGCCCAUCUACCACAACGUAUUACCUGGGCCUCGGCCCUUUACAGAGAACAAACGUUCCUGACGGUUUUGGAGGAUAAGAAACCCAAAAUCAAAGCACCGACCCGCCAGCUGUGUUUGUUAAGCUGCGCUCUCUGGUUCUAAGAUGGUCCCUUCAACGCAGAUCGGUCCCCUAAGGUGAAAAGCUCUGAGCACAGAGACAGAAGAACAAAGGCGAGUGAAAGCUAUGCACUCCUGGGGGCAGAAUCUUCAGUGACCUAAUCUUCUAACGGCCUGACUUCCUGAUUCAGUGAUAUUGGCGGUUGUUUCCACAUAUUGCAAUUACUCAAAAUGAAAAUAAAUCUAAAAGUAUGGAGCUAGGCAGCAGUGUCUUCCUCUGCCUAAUCAUAUUUACAAAAAUCAAAUAUUUAUUAAGGCCUCUCGCAGUCCAAGGUCUGACCUGGGUUUUCUCACUCCUGCUAAUGACUAAGCUGCAAUGGGCCUUCUGUCAAAGGUCAUGGUGUCCAGGGAGUGAGACAGUCUCACUUGGUGCUCAGGGAGGUACAGUGUGGCCAUAGUCAGGGAAACUUUCCUAUAAGCAUGUGUAAUUAGAAUUUGGGUGAUUUGGGGAAUUUUAAGUAUUCAUACCUGUUUCUUCACUUCAGUAAUUAAUUACAGAAGCACAUAUGGGGAUUUGUACAUUGGAUAUAGUAAUCUCUCAAUGCUGUGAUGUGUAAAGAAGUUCGACGCGAUUGUAAAGGCUACGCUGAGUCCGUUCAUUGAGACACGAAUCUGCUCUAUUUCCAAAGAUCAAUUUGUGGUUUGAUAAGUUUUAGACCUUUCUGGGUUGAAUUACUACCAGAAAAAUCUUUGUAAUUAUUGCUAUUUAAAAUUUAUUUCUACUCAUGCAUAUGCAUGUGUUUAUGUGUAUGAGCACGUGUAUGCAGACACCCACGGUGCUGGAGUUACAAGUAGUUACAAACCCCCUGAUGUGAGUUCUGGAAGCCAUAAUCCAGUUCUCUGCAAAAGCAACAAGUGUUCUUAACAGAUGGGCCAUCUCCCCAGCCCCAGAUCUCUGUAGUCAAAAUGAAAACAUUGCUGUCAGCCAUGCUGUUUCUCCAUCAAAGAAAACCAAUUCCAUAUUUUCUAAGUGUAAUUCACGUGUUUUCCCCACACUUCCUCCUUUCCUUGACUCUUCCUAUAUUUAGGCCUCUUUUAUUAAAACUUUAUUUAUUC
Molecule: non-coding RNA, 2518 nt
Organism: Myodes glareolus (Bank vole)
Lineage: Eukaryota; Metazoa; Chordata; Mammalia; Rodentia; Cricetidae
Source: RefSeq, a predicted model, not a curated record